UACGUAGACCUCAAGCGUUAUCCGGAUUUAUUGGGCGUAAAGCGUGUGUAGGGGGCUUUGUGCGUCUUGGGUGAAAUCUCACUGCCUAACGGUGAGCCUGCCCAGGAUACGGCGAAGCUAGAGGAGGCGAGAGGUGAACGGAGCGCACGGUGUAGGGGUGAAAUCCGUUGAUAUCGUGCGAAACACCAAAGGCGAAGGCAGUUCACUGGCGCCUUCCUGACCCUGAGACACGAAAGCGUGGGGAGCAAAAAGG
Molecule: ribosomal RNA, 253 nt
Filed under: uncultured bacterium
Lineage: Bacteria
Description: partial 16S ribosomal RNA
Rfam family: Bacterial small subunit ribosomal RNA
Source: RNAcentral